UUGGUAUUUGUCACUUGUUUUUACUUGAGUUAAAAAACAAAAUCUCUCUUCAUAGAGUUGAUGUUUUUCAGUCACGACUGUUCAUCAUGACGGUGUCUUGUAGAACGUGUGGUGAGUUUCUUCAGUCCAGGCGUUGUCCUUGUCAAUAUUAGUCAGGCUACAGUCCCAAACAAUCCAUCUGACUAUUGUGUCAUUCAGACUGUCAGCGGGAGACUGACUGUCUGUCCUGAUCUCAGACAGUCUGCUCUGCCCACUUUAUGCAAACAUCAACUCAGUUGUCAAGGGAGGUCCUCGGUUUACUACGUCGUCCACCUAUUGACGUUUUGUGGUCACGUCCAUCAUUCUGAUGUAUGGCAUUCAAAUGGGUGAACUAUUUGGUGAGCAAAGCGGACGAAUACAUCGUCUCGUGGCGUUAUACUCAGAAGACAUCUUUGUUUACAUUCGCCGGUUGUAGACCAUACUCUGGAUUGUGCUUCAAUCACUUUUUCUUCCUUUGGGUUGUUGUCACUGUGUUAGCAUAAAUGACUAACACGAACAUGUAGUUAUGUCGCACCGUUGGAACGGAUCUCCAAAGUAAGUGGAGCUAACAGUGAACAAUAUAACUGACUGUCUCAUACACUCCACACUCCACACUUCAGACUGAUGCAUGUGGAGUGUGGAGCAGGAAAUCCUGGAGAGAUCAGGAGACCACAAGCACCAAGGUCAACAAGAACACACAAGGCUCUGAGGGAUGAGGGGGCUCGCUCUGACCUUCAGCUGCGCCUGGUGUAGAUAAUUAACUAACCACUGGGCUGUGAUAUAACUUUGAACCAAACUAGAUCAAACUGGCUCUGAAUGUAAGACAGUGAGGACACAGUUCUCUUCUGCAGGUUCAGAGACAGUUGCUUUGGAUAAAAGCGUCUGCUAAAUGUAUUGUAAUAUAUGCGAAGUCUGUGCUUGUUUUCACUGGUGUUGUAAGAUCAAGUUCGAAGGUGUCGUAACAUCACGGCCCGGGUAGGUGUGGAUUAAAAAGAACCCCAAACACCAGAGUGAGGUGGAAAAAAAAAACAGACAUGAAGAUCAGUUAAAGAUCAGCUAGAGGUAGAAGAUGAAAUGACUGAGAGUUCAAGACAGCAAGGUUCUAAAUUCUGUUGUAUGAAUGAAGUUUAGAAUGCGUGUAGGCACAAAACAACAACUUCAAACUUAAAGCACUAAAAAAAAAAAUCCCACCUGUUCGUAAGUACGACGAUCGUGUAUGUUUAGGGUAAUUUGCACUCAGAAAUACUGUGAAUUGUUGUUGUUGCAUAUGUCUCCCAAUUUCUCACUGAAAUGUUCCGGUGGCCAAAAAUCCCAGGAUGAAAAGGAGCUGGAUGUGCCCUAGGAUGGCUUUGGUGUGUUUUGUGUCACGCUCCAAGACGGAUUAUAAAUCUGUCAGUAUGUUUUUGGGAAAGCAGCGCCUGCUAAGAAGUGCUCUCGCUGAACGGAUCAGCAUGUUUUUUUGUUUGUUUUUUUUUUGAAAAUGCACUCUCUGCGCAGCAUGCGGAUUUCCAAAUCCUCCGAGAAAGACAUGAUACUGGUAUUUCCAGUCACAGCUUGCCUUUUAUAACUUGUCACACCAAUCCUUCAAAAUGUAAAAAAAAAA
This is a long non-coding RNA of Cynoglossus semilaevis (tongue sole), 1621 nucleotides long. RefSeq lists it as uncharacterized. The transcript is spliced from 2 exons. Lineage: Eukaryota; Metazoa; Chordata; Actinopteri; Pleuronectiformes; Cynoglossidae. The record is from RefSeq and is a predicted model, not a curated record.